This 2393-nucleotide ribosomal RNA is filed under the name Crymostygius thingvallensis. RNAcentral's name for it is "partial 18S ribosomal RNA". It matches the Rfam family "Eukaryotic small subunit ribosomal RNA". The record is from RNAcentral. Lineage: Eukaryota; Metazoa; Arthropoda; Malacostraca; Amphipoda; Crymostygidae.
GGUUGAUCCUGCCAGUAGUCAUAUGCUUGUCUCAAAGAUUAAGCCAUGCAUGUCUCAGUACAAGCCGUGUUUACACGGCGAGACCGCGGACGGCUCAUUAAAUCAGUUGUGGUCCAAAUGGGCUAGUGUUAUCUUACUUGGAUAACUGUGGUAAUUCCAGAGCUAAUACAUGCAACUCAAUACCCCGAUGGCCUCUCUCUUGCAGGGAGCGUCUUGACGGGUGCUUUUAUUAGACCAAACCGCUGAGGGUGUGUGUGUGUGCGUGCGUUCCCCCGUGGGCGCACAAAACACAUGCGCACACGCCUGACUCGUUCAAUGGUGACUCUGAAUAACCUCUUGUUGACAAGCGCACGUACCCCUCUUUUGAGCGGGACGGCGCUGCCACUUUCGAGUGUCUGCCUUAUCAGCUAUCAACCGUUCGUUACGUGCGACCGAUGGCUUUGAAGGGUGACGGGGAAUCAGGGUUCGAUUCCGGAGAGGCAGCCUGAGAGACGGCUACCACGUCCAAGGACGGCAGCAGGCACGCAAAUUACCCAAUCCCAGCAACUGGGGGAGGUAGUGACGAAAUCUAACGAUGCGGGCGCCCUUUCUAGGGCCCCGCAAUCGGAAUGAGCACUUUCUAAACAACCUGUUGAGAACCUACUGAAGGGCAGUCUGGUGCCAGCAGCCNCGGUAAUUCCAGCUUCAGCAGCAUCAUAUUAAAGUUGCUGCGGUUAAGGCUCGCAGUUGANNNAGUGCCAGCGCAGGUCAGGUGGACGCUGGGGCGUGGGACCUCAACGCGGCACGGACGACGCUUACGCAUGCACAUGCGCUUUGCCGUCGCACCGGCCGUGUCUCACAAGCCCCCGUCCGUGACAAGCCUCCUCGCUUGCGUACAUAACGAGAUGUGUUUCGGAGGCUUGCGUUUGCCUGGGUUCUUCCCUGCCUCCUCCUCUUUCUUUUCUUUUGCCCCCUGCCUUUCCCGGCCGUUGGGGUUCUGCCCCUCGGCGUCUCUGUGGGAGGCGGUGGGAAGGGAGAGAAUGGAGUGUUGGGGUUGUUGGGGUUGGCCUGCAAAGGCGCGCAAUAAAAUCACCUCCAUGGUUUCAAAGUCACCUUGAGUAAAUCAGAGUGCUCAAAGCAGUCGUAGGGGCCUUGCGCCCUGUGAACAGUCUUGACGGACUGACUGGUUUUGCAUGGCAUGUCGGAAAACGACGUCGUGGGCUGGCUCAGAGUGUACAAUCAGUGGUGCAAGCCAGCCUCGACGUAAUGAUUAACAGGGACGGUCGAGGGCAUUGGUAUUGCGAGGCGAGAGGUGAAAUUCUAUGACCCCCGCAAGACCUCUGAAGCGAAAGCGUCUGCCAGGGACGUUUUCAUUAAUCAUGAACGAAAGUUAGAGGAUCGAAGGCGAUCAGAUACCGCCCUAGUUCUAACCNUAAACGAUGCCAACCAUCAAUCCGCGCGUAGCACCCUUCUUAACGGGCUCGGCGGGCAGCUCCUCACCCACGGGAAACCAGAGUCUUUGGGUUCCGGGGGGAGUCUGGUUGCAAAGCUGAAACUUAAAGGAAUUGACGGAAAGGCACCACCAGGCGUGGAGCCUGCGGCUUAAUUUGACUCAACACGGGCCAUCUCACCAGGCCAGCACUCUUGAACGAUUGACAGAUUGAGAGCUCUUUCUCGAUUCAGUGGAUGGUGGUGCAUGGCCGUUCUUAGUUGGUGGAGUGAUCUGUCUGGUUAAUUCCGAUAACGAACGAGACUCUCCCCUGCUAACUAGUCGGUUGGAUCUUGCUCUGCGAGUAGUGUACCGGGUGUCGGUGUGCGUGGAGCCGGUCUUUUUGGAGGCGUGUCACCGCGCUCGGGGCCAAAGGUGUGUUCUCUCUGGACACCCUUCCCGUGGCGUGUGAGUGUGCCCUUCAGCCUCUCCUUCACACACGGCCCGGACCGCACACUCCAAGUCCGCCGCNUAUGCUAUAAAACUCUUCUUAGAGGGAUUCACGGUUCUGAAGCCGUAAGAGACCGAGAGCAAUAACAGGUCUGUUAUGCCCUUAGAUGCUCUGGGCCGCACGCGCGCUACAAUGCCGGGCACAGCAGGUCUUCCUCCUACUCCGACAGGAGCGGGUAACCCUCUGAAAGCCCUCGAUGAUUACUCUCGUGUCUGACACGAAUGGCGUGCUUGGGCCUGGGGCUUGCAAUUCUUUCCCACUAACGAGGAAUGCCUAGUAGCGGCGAGCCACUGAGCUCGCCGUGACUCAGUCCCUGCCCUUUGUACACACCGCCCGUCGCUACUACCGAUUGGGUGUACCAGUGAGAGCCUUGGACUGGCGUCCGCUGCCUUCUAGCAAGCGGGUCCGACGGAAAGAGGUCCGAACUGGUGCACUUAGAGGAAGUAAAAGUCGUAACAAGGUUUCCGUAGGUGA